This 854-nucleotide long non-coding RNA is filed under the name Physcomitrium patens. RNAcentral's name for it is "long non-coding RNA (PPAT_LNC012083)". The record is from RNAcentral. Lineage: Eukaryota; Viridiplantae; Streptophyta; Bryopsida; Funariales; Funariaceae.
GUAGCAGUUGAAAGAAAUUAUACAACAACUGAAAGAGAAGCAUUGGGAAUGAUUUAUUCCAUACAAAAGUUUUGACAUUAUCUAAAUUUGUUUUCUAUGUCAACUAUGAUGCUUUAAAAUAUAUGAUUAAUAAGCCUCAAUUGAGUGGUCAUAUUGCAUGAUAGAUUUUACUCUUGCAAGAAUUUGACUUUACUAUUCAGGUAAGACCAAGAAAAUUAUAUUUCAAUGAGGUGUUGUGAUUCGUGAAGUCUUGCUUGAGAAUGCUCUGUGUACCUGGCUGUGGAAGGAAGAAUGGAAAUUACAAUAAAAAAAUCUUAAUUCUUAUAGAAUACUAAAAAUGCUCUAAUUAGACCAUAAUAAUGCAAAGCAAGCUUAAUCAAAUUCAAAUAAACCUCAAAGAAAUUUCAAACAAAGAAUAAGAAUUUUUAAAGAAAUAUUACAAGGAUCACAAAUAUUACUCAAAUACAUCUCAAUUCAAUCUUAAUUUAAUUCUAGUUAAAAUCCUAUUGAACUUCAUUCAAACUUUAGGCCAAAACUAAUUGAAUCUUAAAUCCUAAUAAAAUCCUAAAUCCUAAAUCAAACCCUAAAUAAACUUUAAACCAAACCCUAACCAAAUCCUAAACCAAAUCCUCACCAAAUCCUAAACCAAAUCCUAAAUCCUAAAUCAAAUCCUAAUCAAAUCCUAAUCCAAAUCCUAAACCCUAAACCAAACCCUAACUAAAUCCUAAAUCCUAAACCCUAAAUCAAACUCUAAUCAAAUCCUAAUCAAAUCCUAAUCAAACCCUAAAUCCUAAAAUAAACCCUACUAAAUCCUAAAUCCUAAAUGAAUCCUAAUCAAACUCUAAACCAAAUCC